Molecule: ribosomal RNA, 253 nt
Filed under: uncultured bacterium
Lineage: Bacteria
Description: partial 16S ribosomal RNA
Rfam family: Bacterial small subunit ribosomal RNA
Source: RNAcentral
UACGGGGGGAGCAAGCGUUGUUCGGAAUUACUGGGCGUAAAGCGCGCGUAGGCGGAUUUGCAAGUCGGGGGUGAAAGCCCGAGGCUCAACCUCGGAACUGCCCUCGAUACUGCAAAUCUCGAGUCCGAGAGAGGUGAGUGGAAUUCCUAGUGUAGAGGUGAAAUUCGUAGAUAUUAGGAAGAACACCAGUGGCGAAGGCGGCUCACUGGCUCGGUACUGACGCUGAGGCGCGAAAGCGUGGGGAGCAAACAGG